RNAcentral lists this ribosomal RNA (428 nucleotides) under uncultured bacterium. RNAcentral's name for it is "partial 16S ribosomal RNA". It matches the Rfam family "Bacterial small subunit ribosomal RNA", at positions 355 to 774 of the family's 1533-position model. The record is from RNAcentral.
UAGGGAAUCUUCCGCAAUGGACGAAAGUCUGACGGAGCAACGCCGCGUGAGUGAUGAAGGUUUUCGGAUCGUAAAGCUCUGUUGUUAGGGAAGAACAAGUGCCGUUCAAAUAGGGCGGCACCUUGACGGUACCUAACCAGAAAGCCACGGCUAACUACGUGCCAGCAGCCGCGGUAAUACGUAGGUGGCAAGCGUUGUCCGGAAUUAUUGGGCGUAAAGGGCUCGCAGGCGGUUUCUUAAGUCUGAUGUGAAAGCCCCCGGCUCAACCGGGGAGGGUCAUUGGAAACUGGGGAAAUUGAGUGCAGAAGAGGAGAGUGGAAUUCCACGUGUAGCGGUGAAAUGCGUAGAGAUGUGGAGGAACACCAGUGGCGAAGGCGACUCUCUGGUCUGUAACUGACGCUGAGGAGCGAAAGCGUGGGGAGCGAACA